This 1081-nucleotide long non-coding RNA is filed under the name Homo sapiens (human). Its description in RNAcentral is "HSALNT0296030". The record is from RNAcentral. Lineage: Eukaryota; Metazoa; Chordata; Mammalia; Primates; Hominidae.
CCCAAGUAGCUGGGACCACAGGCACCUACUACCAUGCCCAGGACUCAUGUGAUUAUACUGAACUGACCCAGAUAACCCAGGAUAAUUCACAUCUCAAGACCCUUAAACUUGAUGACGUCUGCAAAGUCCCUUUUGCCAUAAGGUUAUAUUGGCAUAUGGUCCAGGAAUUAGUGCAGAGCCACAAUCUCAGAAAGAAAAUGAGAGUGGAUAAUGAAGACAGAUCAUCUGGGUGUAAACCUGAGGAUAUUCCAGAAUAUAGAGGUUAGAGAGAUAAGAAAGAAACUAGCAAGGAAACUAAGGAGCAGCCUCUAAGUAGAAGGAAAAGAAUGGUGAGUUGUAAUUGGAGGUGAAGACAGUUUCAAGGGAGGGUAUGUUAAUUGCUGCUGACACAUCAAGGAAGAUGAGGACUGAGCAUUGACCAUUGGAUUUAGCAACAUGGAGUUUUCUGCUGACCUGGACCUGAGCAGUUUUAAUGGAGUGGUGGGGGCAAUGCAUGACAGAAGAGAAUUCAAGACAGAAGGGACUUUUCCAAAAAAAAAAGGUAUACAAAUGGUUAUUGUGCAACGUGGAAAGAUGUUCACCAAUAUUAGUCAUUUAGGAAAUGAAAAUCAAAAGCACAAUGAGUUACCAGUUCACACUCACUCAGAAGGCAAUAAUCAAAGAAAUGGACAAUAGCAAGGGUUGGGAAGGAUAUGGAGAUAUUCUCCCACAUUGCUGGUGGAAUGUAAAAAUGGUGAAGGUGAAGGUGGAAAAACGGAAAUGAAGUAUUGAGAGGGAGAUGGAAUAUAAGAAGCUUUCUGACAGAUAACCCAAUGGAACAAACUGACUGACUGGGCAUCUGAAAUGAGUAAGAAGGAGUCAAAAAUGAGCAAAAUUAUGCUUCUCUGUGGAUGCAAAUCAUAUCUCCAUUACUUACACCCAGGAGAACUUGUAUGAAGUAGUUAACUUCUCUGGAUUUUAGCUUUUUCAUGUGUACAAUGGGGGGUUUAUGCCUCAUAGAGUUGUAGAAACUGCAAAUGAGAGACUUAUGAAAAGCCUACUGAAUGACCUUAUGAAUAAUAAUAUCAUCAGUGGAAGGUGA